Molecule: ribosomal RNA, 253 nt
Filed under: uncultured bacterium
Lineage: Bacteria
Description: partial 16S ribosomal RNA
Rfam family: Bacterial small subunit ribosomal RNA
Source: RNAcentral
UACGUAGGGUGCGAGCGUUGUCCGGAAUUAUUGGGCGUAAAGGGCUCGUAGGCGGUUUGUCGCGUCGGGAGUGAAAACCUCGGGCUUAACUCGGGGCUUGCUUUCGAUACGGGCAGACUAGAGGUAUGCAGGGGAGAACGGAAUUCCUGGUGUAGCGGUGAAAUGCGCAGAUAUCAGGAAGAACACCCGUGGCUAAGGCGGCUCUCUAGUACGGUACUGACGCUGAGACGCGAAAGCGUGGGGAGCAAACAGG